AACCGCAAAGGGCUCAGUAAACCAGUUUUAAUUUACUAGAGUUUUUACGUUACGUACGUGGAUACCUGUGGUAAUUCUAGAGCUAAUACAUGCAAUUAAGUCCGGACCAGAAAUGGAAAGGACGCUUUUAUUAGAUCAAAACCAUUCGCCCGACUUGUUUGGGCGUUGUUUUGGUGAAUCUAGAUAACACUUGAGAUCGUACAGUCAUUGUACUGACGACAUCUCUUUCAAACGCCUGACUUAUCAGCUGUCGAUGGUAGACUCUGUGUCUACCAUGGCCCUCACGGGUAACGGGGAAUCAGGGUUCGAUUCCGGAGAGGGAGCCUGAGAAACGGCUACCACAUCCAAGGAAGGCAGCAGGCACGCAAAUUACCCACUCCCGGCACGGGGAGGUAGUGACAAAAAAUAACGAUACGGGACUCUAUUGAGGCCCCGUAAUCGGAAUGAGUACACUUUAAAUCCUUUAACAAGGAUCCAUUGGAGGGCAAGUCUGGUGCCAGCAGCCGCGGUAAUUCCAGCUCCAAUAGCGUAUAUUAAAGUUGUUGCGGUUAAAAAGCUCGUAGUUGGUUCUGCGUGCCGCGCUGUCGGUUCGCCGCCUGUCGGUGUAACUGGCAUGUCGCGGCAUGUCCUGUCGGUGGUGAACGAUAUUCUGCGAGUGCAUCUGAGGCUUAAUUGUCAAAGAUUGUGCCGUGUGUAAUGUCGUUUGCCGAUUUCUCCUACUCCGGUGCUCUUAAACGAGUGUCGAAGUAGGCCGACACGUUUACUUUGAACAAAUUAGAGUGCUUAAAGCAGGCUAAAAUAUCUGCCUGAAUAGUGGUGCAUGGAAUGAUAAAAUAGGACCUCGGUUCUAUUUUGUUGGUUUUAGGAAUAUGAGGUAAUGAUCAAUGUGGACUGGCGGGGGCAUUCGUAU
RNAcentral lists this ribosomal RNA (910 nucleotides) under Gardena sp. RNAcentral describes it as "SSU rRNA". It matches the Rfam family "Eukaryotic small subunit ribosomal RNA", at positions 85 to 897 of the family's 1831-position model. Lineage: Eukaryota; Metazoa; Arthropoda; Insecta; Hemiptera; Reduviidae. The record is from RNAcentral.